AUGACAGCAUGGUUAGCAACCAGGAAGCCACACUCAAUUACAUAACAGGACUGAGGUCAGAAGAUUGAGGAACGGGAAGUAUGUCCUUUUAGGAAUUUGCUGGAUUUGAACUCAACCAGAUGUGGAUUUAAGUUUCAUCCUUUAUUAUUAGAGAUAUCUCUGUGGAUAAGGAAAUCAGACAGAGGUUGGUCGAUGGGCAAGGGUGCUUAAUCAUAACAUUAGCACAACUGUUCUGAAUAGUUGGUCAUUAUUUGGUGGAAGGAUCGUCCAAAUCCUACUCACUGCCACAGCCAUCUGAUGUUUCUGAAAGCCUGCAAACCAGUCAGCAGGGAAUGGGAUGGAUCUGAUGGCUUAACAGGGACAAGUGAUUCACAUUCCUUUCCUAUCAACUGUGGAUCUCCUAUGCUUGACUUUUUAAACAACGUAUUUACUUUAUUUUAAAAUGGCAAACGAGGAAACAAACAAAAGGGAACUGCACAGCUUGUUGUGAAUCAAGACACAGAACUUGUAAUCCUGGGACUCCUCAAAGCUCACCAAAUUCCAUUCGACCCUUCAUAAAGCUAACCUGCAGAGUGCACUCCCCGACACGUGUGAGACCAAUGAGAUGAGAUGAGAGAUGAAGCCAAAACAGCAGCACUCCCCUGUGUCUUCAAUUAGCCAUGGAGUGAAAAUGAGACAAACAGUCAUGUAUAAUUUAGAGGCUUGCUCUCUGGUUCUUCCUGCCGUGGGAAGCCUUUCACCGAGGAAGGAAGCGUGAUCUAGUAAAGUGCUCAGGCUUGGGAGUCAGCCUUGUUGGGUUGUGUUUCCAGUUAGUUCACUGAUGUACUUUGUGACCUUGUAUGCGACUUAAUUUCUAUCAAAGUGGCUGAAACAACUUGCUUUUAAAGAUGACUUGUUUGCUCAUUCUGGGGAGGGGCAAUGCCAGCAGUCCCUCAGUGUAUGUGUUAUUAAUAUGUUCAGCACAGAACAGACAGAAUGAGCAAAUGGCUUGAUCUGUGAGACAAUGUGGAUUACUGAGACUGUAGGAUAACGCAACAAGGAGUGCUGAAUGAUGUUACAAAGCACAUCCUCUGCUACCUAGAGGGUUACGUUAUGUUUUAUGAUUUCAUCAGUCAACAAAUUGAGAAACAUCAUAAGGAUGAAAAAAAAAAAACUACUUAAGUAAGUGCCAAAUAAGUCUGUAAACUUAUUUGACCAAGAAAGUAUGGGGGAGAAAAGGAUUUAUUUCUAGAGGAAGUGGGUCUUGGUCUAAUAUUAGCCUUAAGUUGAAGUGCUGAGAACUAGAUAAAGAGUUGCAAAGUUGAUGUCUGCAAGCAAAUUUCAAAAAGCAGUUGCUGGGUCUGGGAAUAGAUACUACUGAGGAAGAAAUCAUCAGAGUCCAUAGAAGAAUCCAGAAAGAAGGUGAUGCUGGUGCCUACCAAGAUUGGAAAAAUACUGACUGCAGCUGAAAGAAUACAGGUAAAGCAUGAAUCAUCCUUCCCAGACCUGCAUUUAUUUAGAGGUUGUGUGUGCACGCCAACUUCUGCCUUCCACUUAAUUCCCAUCUGGUUGAAGUGCCAAGCCACCCAUAAAAUAACUAUAGAUUGAAAGCAAAGCAAAGCAAGUGUGCAAGCACAAAGAGAAAAGUUAAUCAAAAAUAUGGAAGGGGUAAGAGUGUAGAAAUAAGGUGAAUGAAUGGAUAUCAGGAGAAGAGGAGUGCAAGAGGAAAGCAGUGCCUGGGUUUGGAAAGGAAAGCUGUGGAGAAAGGUGAUCCUCCCAGACUCUGCGCACAUCUUCUCACUGCUGCUUUUGGGGGCUGUCUUUCUUUUUUUUUUUUUUUUUUUGUCACAUGCAGCAGCCACUUGCAGCUUGUGUUUCUCUGAAACUUGGAUCAUUUUACCAGCUAUUUAAUAAGACUAAAUAAAUGGUGUCAGCAUCAGAAAGCAUAGCACAUUUUGUUUAGAGAUGUGUACAUUCCUUCUUGCUAUUAAACUGUGAUAACUUUUGGCAAGAAUAUUACUUUGCUCUGUCUUCUCUGAGAAGAAAUUUUCCUUCUGUUCUCACACGGCCAUUGAAGAAACAAAGACUACCAUAUUUAGUGGAAGACAAAAGGGCAUGCAUUUGGGAAAAUAUUGACUUAGAAAACUUUAUCCCUGAGAAAAAGAUUGUAAGGGAGUGAGCCGAUGAAAAAUCCCAUGUGAUUUACAGAAUUCAGAAACUUCUUUUUUUGCUAAUGUUAAUUUAUCACCUAAAAUUGACCCAGAACAUUAAAUCAAUCCAAUUCUAGCUAGCCACUAUGUUUUUGGAAAUUAGAGUUUAAAUCCCACUUUUGUUAAGUAGGAAAAAAAUAAUCCCAUAAAGCUCCCAGUUGGGAUCUAGUAAAAGGGCAUCCUUUUAUGAAAGAAGCUUCCCAGAGAGCAAGGAAAUAAAUGACCCCCAAAGAGGACUGAAGGCUGUUUACCAUAAAUGUGUACUAUUUUCAACAUUAGUUUAAUUAAAAAUGGAUAUAAAAAAUUAGUCUUCAGAGCCUGCAUAAGCCAGCAUUUAUCUUUAAAAAAAUUCCUGUAUGAAUUCCUGUACGAAGAUCAUCUUAAUGGCCAUCACUGCACGCGAUCAUAACUUUCAGCGUUUGCCUUCCUCUGCUUUGUCUCCUCACACUUUUACUCAUGCCUUGUUCGUAAAUUUAAACUGAAAUGAGGUCAGAGAAGGUGUCUCAUUCAUUUAUCUGUCCAUUUGUUCAUUCAUUCAUUCAACCCCUAUUUACCGAGUGGCCGGUAUGUGUCAGGGUUAGUUUUAGGACCUGGAAUACAGUGGUGAAUAAAAAUGCAGUCACUGAAUUACGUUUACAGGCUUGGGGAGGUAAGAUUGGUAAUCGAAUAAGAAAUCAUGAUGACAACUGUAUGUGCUAUGGAAUAGGUAAACUUGUGACUCUAAGGACUUAAUCUUGAAUAAUCAAGGAAGGGUUUUCAGGGAAAAUGACUGUUAAGCAGUCAUUUGCUCUACAGGUUGGCAAUAAUUAACCAACACUAAAGGGUGGGAAAAGCAGUGCCGUCCAUAGACAAGGCAUGAGUUAGAGCAAAAGUGCUGCAGCCAGGCACAGGCAAGUCCUGAGUUCAUCUGUCUCCAGUAAGCACUCAGGUCUGUGCCUUGAACGUGGCCUCCAUGCCACAUGAGUUAAAUUAAAAUAAUAAAAUUCCACCUAGAUCAAAGUGUAUGUGAAAAAACAUGAGGUCAACAUUAUCCUUCAGAUAUUUUUAAGGGCUCUAAUCACCCUUAGGUUUUUUUUUAAUGCUUAUUUCCAUAGUGCUUGUAACUCAAUAGCUUAAGAAACCAAAUCAGUGAGGGGAAAAAAAGAAAAACGACUAAAUUUUUGCUUGAAGAUGAGUUAACGUUUGUUUAACAACAAGAAUCCGAAGGACAUCAGAUGUUUCCUCAUCUGUGUUCUAUACAUGCAUGAGUUGAAAGUCGGAAUAAACAUUUUUUAAGCUCAGCAAAUUUUCCCCUCUGAGCCAGCCAGAUGGUACAGCUAAACACUAAGCUGGUGGUUAGUAAUCAGGCCCUUCUUUGAUGGUAAUCAGUUUUUACUGAUCAGUGCAAGAGUGUUUCCAAUAAUUCCCCCUUCAUUUAUGAAAUAGAGUAUGUGCUUAAUUUGCAUCAGCUAUACAUUGGAGCAAGCAUUUGCCAUUUGCUUAUAAAAAUAAAGGCUCAACAGCCAUUCCACAAACUAAAAUGGGGUUAUUUUAGCUCUAAAUUCCAGUUCAUUUUGUUUGAAGAAGAGAAUUUUCUGACUGAUAAGGAUUCUAAAAAUAUUUUUACUCUGAGGCAAUAGACACUAAGUUCAAAGUACAAAUUUGUUUUUUUAACUGACUUCGAACACCGAAAAAUAUACUCUCAAGUUGAUCUUUCCUCUACUGUUGUGAGUUUCCGUGGUAUAGAGCUGAAACUCAUUUUGCUUUACUUCUUUCAACAAAACAUGAUUUUUCUGGUGGAGCACUUGUUGCUUUUUCAUGGUGCAUUAAAUAGCAACUCUAAGUAAGUCUAAAAUACAGCUGCUUCUGCUCUGAUAAGCAGCCAAAAUUAUCUAAAAAAAAGGAGUACCUUCAUUACGGCACAUCUCUUUUCAGUCAGUAGCUUCCCAGUCCUAUAAUGCUUAGCAUACUGAUUAUUUAAAAAGAAAUAAUUAUGUCACUGAAGACUAAUGUUAAAGAAACAGUAUCAACACUAGUUCUGGGGAGCUUAGCUUAAAGCACUGCAGCAGAAGCCCAGAAUCACCACCACCGCGGGGAAAAAAAAAAUUAAGUGCAUUUUAAAGCACUGUGUUUUGUUUUUUAAUCCAUUAGGAAUGUCCACAAAACUAAAAUGAGUGGCCCAAAAUGAACUGAUUUCUUUGGCCACCAGUAACAAUUAUAUAUACUUGGUUUUAAGCUAAGCUUAAGGAGAUAGUUAAACAUAAGUGGUUUAGUUUCAUGAGAAUGAAGCCAGUCACAUGAAACACUAUUUUACAGGACUGUUUCAACAAGAUGUCCAAAAAGAGAAUUUUUUUGGUAAUAAUGCUUAUGGAGAAUAUCUUAAUAUAUUUAAUGAUAAAUAACGAUACAAAUACUUACAGUAUGUCUUUGUAUCAUUCUUCCUUUCCUUUCCCAAAUUUAAGUCCACUUAAAAUAGUUUUCCUUGGACAUAAUAUAAAACUCUAUCAAUACUCUUUUUAAAUUUUUAUUUCAAAUUCCAUUGGCAGUAUAUUAUUUUCAUUUAUUUAUUUACCUUUUAUACAAUUAUAGUAAGAACACUUAACAUAUUAUCCACCCUCCUAACAAAAUUUUAAAUGCACAAUAUAGUAUUGUUAACGAUGGGCACAAUGCUAUUCAGCAGAUCUCUAGAGCUCAUUCAUCUUUUAAUUUAACGCAGUUGAUUAACUGGACUUCUUAACAAAGGAAAAGUUUCAGACUUGAAACUUUCACAUGCAAAAUCCAUUAAUGACUGCACUAUGACUUGGUCAUAUUUCCAAGGAUUCAGGAGACAUCUGCAUAUCUCCUUCAAUUUUAUAAUUUCAUUAAAAAAGGGCAUCAUUUGAAUUCUUAAUUCUUUUGCUGAAUAACUUCUGAAAAUUUUUACAAAGUUUAUAUUUGAAUAGGAACAGAAAUCCUGGCUGAUUAAGACCUGUACAACUUAAAACAUAGCCUUUUCUCUGCACAUGACUGCAAACACCACCAAAAUAUCAGAACACCCAUGGUAUGACUUGAGUGAGGUCUCAAAGGUCGAGGUAUCUACUCCUACUGUAAAGUUGAAACUUAUGGCUCAUUUGUCAUUGACGUAAUGUUGUACUAACAUAGGAGGCAAGGUUGCAUUUGGGCUAACAUCU
Pongo pygmaeus (Bornean orangutan) is the source of this 5338-nucleotide long non-coding RNA. RefSeq lists it as uncharacterized. The record is from RefSeq and is a predicted model, not a curated record. NCBI's taxonomy places the organism in Eukaryota, Metazoa, Chordata, Mammalia, Primates, Hominidae. The transcript is spliced from 3 exons.